Molecule: long non-coding RNA, 4237 nt
Organism: Dromaius novaehollandiae (emu)
Lineage: Eukaryota; Metazoa; Chordata; Aves; Casuariiformes; Dromaiidae
Exons: 2
Source: RefSeq, a predicted model, not a curated record
CCCCCCCCCCCCGACAAAGUUCUGCCUCUGGAAACUCCAGUAAUCUUUCAGUUUUCUUUGUGGCAGGAGUUGCAAGACUUUCUUGUUCUGAAUCCAUCUUCCCAUUCGUUAUUCCUCGCACUGCUGGCACGGGCCUGUAAGCAUUUGCUGCGUGCGGACAUGAUGGAGCGACAGCGUGCAGCUGUCUCUCUCCUGUUUUCCUGCUCCUUCCCUCUUCAGUCUUGGAUCCGAGACGCUUCAACCCCUGCAGCCUCACCGUAAGUCCAUGAGCUGCUUCUCGUGUGCGUGUGAGCACGUGCACACGUGUGUGAGGGUGGCAGCUGGGGCCGCAGUGUGGAGGUGCACCUGCUAAGGUUGUACUGUGAAAUGUUCCCAGCCCCCAUGCUUCUCACCUAGGGUCUCUCCCUACUUGUCCUUUUCUCUAGCUUGCGUUUUCGGGCAGGAGGUGACUGCAGAUGGGCACCAAGCGGUAUCCCUUCCACUGGAUUUUCCAUUUCUCCCUGGAAGCUGGAACGUGCCUUCCAAAGUUCAUCCUGUUUUGGCUCCUGACCCAUUCCAGCCUUGAAGAGGCACCUGCUUAACUGAAGGCUGAGUAUUUCGCGUGAAAUUCCUCGUUUUCUUGGGCAUCUAGCCUGGCCUGCUCUUCCUCUGGGAAGUAGCCUUAUGAAGCUAGAGUGAUAAAAUAAUAAAUGCAUGUAGUUCCUCAGUUACAAUGAAGACUGGCAUCCGCUAAGUCCUGCCACUGCGCUGCCUCAGGGAUAUUUCCUUGGCAGCGUCAGAGAUGCUGUGCAUCUCCUCCGGCGUUAGGAAGCUAACGGAGGGGCGCAAAGGGAGCUUUCCUGGGGCCUGCGGCCACUCCCUCGUUCCCCUCUGGGAGAAAGGGGAAUGCUGUGCGGAGUCCCUUUGCCCGGAUUUUUACUAGAAUAGGCACAUAGCUGAGGUGUAUAUGUUUCUCCUUUCCGCAAAUAAUUUCUCCAUUACAAAGGGGGAAUUCGAUUCCAUGGUUUAGCAACUUCAAACCGUAAAGAUUUCCCCUGAAGGCAGGUACAGCCUGCUGCCUGACCGUAAAUCCCAGAAACAGGCUGCAAUUCAAGUGACACCCACCAACAUGUACUGCUGACUGUUACAGCUAAUACUAUGAUUUGUUCACAGCCUGAAUUCUGAAUAUCAACGCUUGCUAUGCAGACUACAGUGACACAUUCUGAUCUCCAAAGGAACAGGUGAGAAAACCUGAUAUUAUCAGGAUUCAGUUAGGAUUUUGACAGGCACAGACUUACCCUUCACAAAGCUGUCCAACAUUAGCCCCAUUUAAUUGCCGCCAGUUCUCUUGCAGGUAAUACGGAUAUUCUGAAAGCCGUCUGAAAUAAAACACUAAGCGUGACUUUGUUUUUAGCGUUCCUUUUUGCGGCUCUUUCCCGUGCAGCUGUUAGCACCAAACCCCCACCCCAAGCCACAGCAAAACUGCUGUAGAUCGCUGGCCUGCUCUGGUGCCGCUCAGGUCAGGGUCCUAAACGUGCCGCUGGUACCUUUGCAGAGGUGCUGCACUAACGGCAAAUGAACUGGCCAGCUGCUCACAUCUCGAAGCUGCCUGGAGCUUUAAGCUAAGUCUGUGCACAGCUCUUAGGACAGGAGGAGAUGUUUUCACUUCUGCUGCAAGGACCCUGCUCCUUGAUCACAGGAAACUAAAUACCUGUGCUAUCUGGCAGGAAUUACACACACCUCCAAAGAAAACAUAGCGAGAGCUCCAGUUGCCUAACGCUGGCUUGCAUUAGCUACCUAAGUAUGGGUAAUUACUGAUUUUUGCGUGUGUACUUCAAGGGCGUGUGGAGCUUUGUGUACUUUAACCUUGUUUCUGGUUUGAGAAACUAUCAGACCAGACACACGCGGUGUGCCGACAUACUGAGAUGUAGAUCUCUCGUCAGACACGGAACUGUGCUAUAGCCUGCUCCACCAAAACAACUUUCAGGGACAGAUGGCAGACUUUAAAUUCAGAAGGAAACUAAAACUAGAAGCCAGGUCCUGGCCUACUGCCAGCAACCAAGACGCAGGCAAGCUUCUGGACAAUCAACUUGUAUUUCUUUUGAAGAAGAAAAUCAAUAUUUAAAAAAAAAAUCGUGUUUGCAUUGAAUCACUUUGCUUAAUUGGGAGUACCCUUUUCCUGAUACAGCCUCUUUGAGUUAAUCUUAUCCCCCCGCCCCGUACCCCCACUUGCACUAAAGUUGCUUUGCUACCUUGUUGCACCCUGACUUACACCUGAGGCAAACAGACGUUGUUGCACCAGAAAAUUGGAGGGUGGGAAACCGUGCGCCCCUCUGCCUGUAUUACAGAAUCCCUGCAUCAACAUGGGUUUGCUUCAACUGUGCUGGAUCACUGGAAAAGUUGGAGCUUUCCUCUGGUAUAAGUCCUCCUAAUCUCUUCAGCUUGGCACCACAGCAGGAUGCCGGAUUUGUAGGUGCAGCAGUGGAACGUGCAGGAUGCACAAAAUAAUCGUCCUUCUUAGCACGAGGGCUCGUUUGGAGCAGCCUGUCCGCGUUCAAGCACGGUGCCACAAGCAGAACGCAGGCCAAACUGACAGCUGCCUCGGGGAAACGGCACGAUCAGAGGAAGCUUUAAACGUGCGGCCUAGGAGCGAUGCCUGUGUCACCCCAACAAGUUAACUGGGGAAAGAGAAGACUGAAAGGGGAGACGCAAGAGACAACUUUGUGAAGGGCCGUUACAAAGAGGAAGGUAGUAGGUGGGUCUCCGUAUCUGCGAAGGGAUGUGAUUAGAUAGGACGAGACUGCCAUCUCAGUUAAAAUAGUAACGCAGUCGCAGUUUGAAAAAAGCACUGGUGAAACUGGAACCUGAAAGUCGCUUCAGCAAGAAAAGAUGCUGCAGGAAAGCUAGAGCUGUGCAGGGAGCCUUGCUUGGUAAAAUAAAACCAGCGCUUUAGCCUCUCGAGUGCCUGGGCUUCAGAGCCUACCUGGUCAUCAGAUGACUACCCUUACGCACACAGAGGGAUAGUCAUCUCUAUUAACUGUGUAAUCCUACAUUCUUGUGCUCUUAAAAGGGCUUAUUUGACUUAAAUGGGAUUAAAUGCAGAGGUUGCUAAUGUAAAUCUGAAGAAUUCAAGGAUGAAGUCCCUUCUAGUAAUAUCCCUAAUAGUUUUACAAGCCAAAAAGCAUUGCUUCUGCAAGCAACUCCUGCAGUGACUCUGCUCCUUGCUUGGCUUCCCGACACCUCUCCCCUUGCCUUCUCCUGCAGAUGCCUCCGCACCGCCAGCCUCCUCGCAGGUGGAGGCACCGGGAAGGAGAGGCCCUGGAGGAAAGCCUGUGCCAGAGCACUGGGGCCUUCCAGAGGGCACCUCGCCACCGAGUUUGCAGCCUUCCUACCACGAGCGCUGCAAAAUUCACACUUCUAGGAGGUGAAGCGGUGGUGGUACGGUAAAAGGAAGGAGUGCUGCAGGAGCAAUGGUGGCUUUGGGAGCUGCAGCAUCCUGCUGCCCAGCGCUGACUGAGAUUGAUAGCCUUGCUGAAAGAAAACCAGUAUAACCAGCUUAAAAAUAGAGAAGCUGUAAGAGUCUGAAGUGCUCUGGCGUGUGUCACCCAAGCUAGUUGCCUAUUAAUACCAACAGGAGCAAAGACCACAAGUUCAGCUACCAAGAGCCACAUUGCAGAGUGCUCAAGCAAGUAUUCCAGCUCACUCUUGGUACUGGCCAUUGCGAAUGAGGCAUUUGCAGUCUUACCUUAAGUCGCUAUUUUAUUUUAAUCAACAUAUUCUUACUGAUUUAUUACUACGAUUUAAGAAUCAACAUUUAAUUGGUUUGCAACAGAACUCCUGUUACCAUUUUUUCUUGGGUGCGGGCUCUAACUUUCCUUAGGGCUUUGGGAAAAACACAAGAAAAUAAGGUAUGCCAUUAAAAUAUACAAUGUUCUAGAAAUCCUAAUUCAGUAGUACAAAGUAAUCCACUGAAAACUAUUCAGCAAUUUUUAGGAUUAUGUUCUGUUUCCAGGACAGUCGUCCCUCAAAAGAGGUGACACUGACAAUUUGUGCAUUAGCAGAUAUAAUGACCGACACCUCUCUACCUCCUUCUCCCUUCCUCAUGCUCUUCUUCCAUACAAUGUGCGACACUGACUACCGGCACUGAGAACCUAAACCAAUUUUUGCUGUCAGUACUGUAUGUUGACCUUGAAUGACCUGCUCUUUGCGCAGCUCCCUUUCUACCCACAGCCCUGAAUAAAACAAGGUUUCAGACAGA